GCGCCUGUAGCUCAUCCGGAUAGAGCGUCAGUUUGCGGAACUGGAGGUAAUAGGUUCAAGUCCUAUCAGGCGCGCCA
This 77-nucleotide transfer RNA is filed under the name Candidatus Marinamargulisbacteria bacterium. Its description in RNAcentral is "tRNA-Arg". It matches the Rfam family "tRNA". Rfam says of the family: Transfer RNA (tRNA) molecules are approximately 80 nucleotides in length. Their secondary structure includes four short double-helical elements and three loops (D, anti-codon, and T loops). Further hydrogen bonds mediate the characteristic L-shaped molecular structure. tRNAs have two regions of fundamental functional importance: the anti-codon, which is responsible for specific mRNA codon recognition, and the 3' end, to which the tRNAs corresponding amino acid is attached (by aminoacyl-tRNA synthetases). tRNAs cope with the degeneracy of the genetic code in two manners: having more than one tRNA (with a specific anti-codon) for a particular amino acid; and 'wobble' base-pairing, i.e. permitting non-standard base-pairing at the 3rd anti-codon position. Lineage: Bacteria; Bacillati; Candidatus Margulisiibacteriota; Candidatus Marinamargulisbacteria. The record is from RNAcentral.